CAGCCUUCAAUCAGUAAAUUAUUUAGAACUUCGGAAGAUGGUCAAGGUAACUUGCUUCAAAGCCACGGCACUAGAUGGACAUGUAGUAGUCAGCCCAGAAUGCUUUUCUUCUUUACUAAAGUACUAUUUCGGAUGAAUGAAGAAUUACGUCGGUUUGUGCAGCAUAGACCGAGCAUGAGGCUUUUAAAGGUAUCCACCAUACUAUUUCGGAUGAAUAGGGAAUUAUGUCGCUUUGUUUAGCGUAGACCCAGCAUGAGGCUUUUUAAGGUAUCCACCUAUGUCGCUAUGGAAAGAUGUCCAAGGUCAAACAUCAGGACUAGAGACACUACAAUCUAGGUGAACCCCCUUCUAUCUUUCUUUCAGUUUGGUACUUUAGCAAAGAGGAAAUUUCUAUGAAGGUACUCAAAUUCCUUUUCCACCAAAGGAAUUAAUUAACUUACUCGAGCGACUUCUCUUUCAGGAGAACAGUUGUAUGCAGAUAAAUCCGUGCCUUUAUAAGUUUCACUUAUACCGUAAGUUGCUUAUGGGUUAAUUCUCAGUUCU
RNAcentral lists this long non-coding RNA (543 nucleotides) under Nicotiana benthamiana. RNAcentral describes it as "long non-coding RNA (NBEN_LNC003243)". Lineage: Eukaryota; Viridiplantae; Streptophyta; Magnoliopsida; Solanales; Solanaceae. The record is from RNAcentral.